This 253-nucleotide ribosomal RNA is filed under the name uncultured bacterium. Its description in RNAcentral is "partial 16S ribosomal RNA". It matches the Rfam family "Bacterial small subunit ribosomal RNA", at positions 524 to 776 of the family's 1533-position model. The record is from RNAcentral.
UACAGAGGUCUCAAGCGUUGUUCGGAUUCAUUGGGCGUAAAGGGUGCGUAGGCGGCCAACUAAGUCGGACGUGAAAUCCCUCAGCUUAACUGGGGAACUGCGUCCGAUACUGGAUGGCUUGGAUUCGGGAGAGGGAUGCGGAAUUCCAGGUGUAGCGGUGAAAUGCGUAGAUAUCUGGAGGAACACCGGUGGCGAAGGCGGCAUCCUGGACCGAUAUUGACGCUGAGGAGCGAAAGCCAGGGGAGCAAACGGG